This 327-nucleotide ribosomal RNA is filed under the name uncultured eukaryote. Its description in RNAcentral is "partial 18S ribosomal RNA". It matches the Rfam family "Eukaryotic small subunit ribosomal RNA", at positions 1470 to 1796 of the family's 1831-position model. The record is from RNAcentral.
CCCUUAGAUGCUCUGGGCCGCACGCGCGCUACACUGGUCGAUGCAACGAGUUUCUUUCCUUGGCCGACAGGCCUGGGCAAUCUUUGAACAUCGAUCGUGAUCGGGAUAGAUUCUUGUAAUUUUUGAUCUUAAACGAGGAAUGCCUAGUAGGCGCAAGUCAUCAGCUUGCGUCGAUUACGUCCCUGCCCUUUGUACACACCGCCCGUCGCUCCUACCGAUUGGGUGUGCUGGUGAAAUGUUCGGAUCGGCCGUUUGUCGCGGUUUCCGCGUCAUGUGGCUGAGAAGUUCAUUAAACCCUCCCACCUAGAGGAAGGAGAAGUCGUAACA